GGGGCGGUAGCUCAGUGGGAGAGUGGAAGAUUGCAAUUAUGUGGUUCUAAUUGGCUGCAGCUUCACAUUGCAAGCUAUCUUUAGGUCGCCGGUUCGAUCCCGGCCCGUCCCU
This is a non-coding RNA of Aspergillus coremiiformis, 112 nucleotides long. The record is from the annotation of a GenBank genome assembly. NCBI's taxonomy places the organism in Eukaryota, Fungi, Ascomycota, Eurotiomycetes, Eurotiales, Aspergillaceae.